UACGUAGGGGGCAAGCGUUGUCCGGAUUUACUGGGCGUAAAGAGCGUGUAGGCGGCCAAACAGGUCCGUUGUGAAAACUGGAGGCUUAACCUCCAGACGUCGACGGAAACCGUAUGGCUAGAGUCCGGAAGAGGAGAGUGGAAUUCCUGGUGUAGCGGUGAAAUGCGCAGAUAUCAGGAAGAACACCAAUGGCGAAAGCAGCUCUCUGGGACGGUACUGACGCUGAGACGCGAAAGCGUGGGGAGCGAACAGG
This 253-nucleotide ribosomal RNA is filed under the name uncultured bacterium. RNAcentral describes it as "partial 16S ribosomal RNA". It matches the Rfam family "Bacterial small subunit ribosomal RNA", at positions 524 to 776 of the family's 1533-position model. The record is from RNAcentral.